Molecule: ribosomal RNA, 890 nt
Filed under: uncultured archaeon
Lineage: Archaea
Description: bacterial SSU rRNA
Rfam family: Archaeal small subunit ribosomal RNA
Source: RNAcentral
UCCGGUUGAUCCUGCCGACCCGACUGCUAUUUGGGUGAGAAUAAGCCAUGCGAGUCGAAUGGGAUACCUAAAUUUCCCAUGGCAAACUGCUCAUUAACACAUGAUCAACUUACCCUAUAGAGAAAAAUAACCUCGGGAAACUGAGGAUAAUAUUUCGUAGUUGAAUAGGCUUGGAAAAGUUUUUCAAUAAAAGGGAUAAAAAAAAUGGUUUUUAUCUGCUAUAGGAUAGGAUCGUGGACGAUUAUGGUUGUUGGUGAGGUAACGGCUCACCAAGCCGAUAAUCGAUAGGGGCCGUGAGAGCGGGAGCCCCGAGAUGGGUACUGAGACAACGACCCAGGCCUUACGAGGCGCAGCAGGCGCGGAACCUCCGCAAUACACGAAAGUGUGACGGGGUUACCCAAAGUGUUCAAUUCUGAACUGUGGUAGGUGAGUAAUGUUCCCUACUAGAAAGGAGAGGGCAAGGCUGGUGCCAGCCGCCGCGGUAAAACCAGCUCUUCAAGUGGUCGGGAUAAUUAUUGGGCUUAAAGUGUCCGUAGCCGGUUUAGUAAGUUCCUGGUAAAAUCGGGUAGCUUAACUAUCCGUAUGCUAGGAAUACUGCUAUACUAGAGGGCGGGAGAGGUCUGAGGUACUACAGGGGUAGGGGUGAAAUCUUAUAAUCCUUGUAGGACCACCAGUGGCGAAGGCGUCAGACUGGAACGCGCCUGACGGUGAGGGACGAAAGCCAGGGGAGCAAACCGGAUUAGAUACCCGGGUAGUCCUGGCCGUAAACGAUGCAUACUAGGUGAUGGUACGGUCAUGAGCCGUAUCAGUGCCGUAGGGAAACCGUUAAGUGUGCCGCCUGGGAAGUACGGUCGCAAGGCUAAAACUUAAAGGAAUUGGCGGGGGAGCAC